GUGAGGUCACGACUAUUCAGUCACUGGUUGGUCUGCCAGAUGACAGCAGAUUCAUGUGCAAGCCCAGCAGAGGUCAGCCAAGCUGACUCAAACCAGAGGAACAAGCUGAUCACAGAAAUCAGGAGCAGAAUGAAUACUUGCAGGUGUAUUCUACCAAGGGAGGACACCAAAUGCCACCCAAGAUGAAUGGAACAGAAGGGGAUGGAACCAUGGAUGAGGCUGACAGGGAACCAAGGAGGUGAAAACUUUUCAGAAAGGUUUUGCUUUCCUGAUUAAAGGGACAGAUUGCUGGAGCUCUUCCUUCCUCCUUCUUUCUCCUUGGACACAGAUGUGGCAUCUGGAGCUGCAGCAACCAUUUUGCAUUUAUUAGGUAAUAAAUAUGACUAGGCAAAGCAAGCCUGCUAAGGCUAGUGGAACAGAAAGAUUAAAA
RNAcentral lists this long non-coding RNA (430 nucleotides) under Rhinopithecus bieti (black snub-nosed monkey). Its description in RNAcentral is "lncRNA (ENSRBIG00000046078.1)". Lineage: Eukaryota; Metazoa; Chordata; Mammalia; Primates; Cercopithecidae. The record is from RNAcentral.